This is an RNA transcript of Cygnus olor (mute swan), 4079 nucleotides long. It is a transcript of the gene named AMMECR1 like, with no coding region annotated. NCBI's taxonomy places the organism in Eukaryota, Metazoa, Chordata, Aves, Anseriformes, Anatidae. The record is from RefSeq and is a predicted model, not a curated record. The transcript is spliced from 6 exons.
CGCCCCUGCCCCGGGGCUGCGCUCUGGGCUCCCCGGCCCGUUAGGUACCGCAGGCGGCCUGGGGGCGAGGCGGUGGCCUGGUGCCGGGAGCCGGACCCCCAGCUGCUGGCGGUGCGCUCCGUGGCGGGGGCGUUGCGCUCGCAGCCCUUCUGGCAGGCGGGGGUUGGUUUUGUCCCCGUGCGCGCGGACCUCGCGGUGACGGUGGCAUGGCACUUCGGCUCCUACCCCUGCCAUGCGGUCCUUGCCUGCCCUCACGGGUUUUUGUGUGCACACGCCUUCCUCCCUGCGUCCUCCCACCCCUUUUUGUGAUGUAUGAAGUAGCAUUCUCUGCUUUGCAGGCAAAACACGGUGCUGCUUUGUUUUAUUCACGUAUCUGCUUCCUGCUGUCACCGCUUCCCUCCUUCCCAGCCCUGCUUGGUCCUCAGCCCUUUCUCUCCUGCAUACCUGGGCAGCGCACCUCUCGCCUCUGCCUCUGGGCACUGUCGGUUUACUGACUGACAGAAGUAUGUGCAGGUUCUGCUCCUGGGCUCUGGGCAAUGCCCAGCUGUUCACAAAGCAGCGCUUCAAUGCUCGUGGCUUCUCGUUGGGUUUUGCUUGGGCCGGAUCUACAGCGAGGGCAGCACCAAGCCCAAAGGUGCAACCCAGAGCUGUUGUUGUUACCCUUCUGCUGGGGACAAGGAAGGGAGGUGCAGUGGCAAUGGUUAAAUAGUUUUUGUCGUUGGUGCAGCUGUUAGCCAAUGGGGAGCAAGUGUUCUCAGGAAGCAUUGAAUGGGAUAUAUCUAUAGUCCGUAUCUAUAGUCCAAAAUAUUUUUUCUUCGCUUUUUCCCUGGUUUCCUUUCCUUUACGGGAAGGCUGGUCGUGGUUUGUUUUGUUGGUGGGGUGUGUGUGUUUGAUGAGGUGCCUAUUUUCAAAGUGUUUAGUAAGCUGUACUGAUAACUUCAGAAGCAUGAUUUGAGGUUGUGUAUGCACGCUUUCAAUUUAUGUGUAAAAGCACACAUUUUGCUCGCUGGAUUGAUUUUUGUUCUGUCUUAGAGGCACGUUGCAAAAAAGCUGUAUGUUGCAAAGGCUUUCUUCCUCUCUUUCUUGCCACAAACCCAGCAACUUAGCAGAAGCAAGGAAGUAGCUGCUGUUUUUUCACCUGUAACUGUUCUGUGUAUUGUUUUUUUUGUUUUUUUGUUUAUUUUUCUCCUCCUUGCCAGGGUUCUGCAGUGCUCCAGGAAGCAAGUUUUGAAGCAGGAUGGGAAAAAGACGCUGUGUUCCUCCACUUGAGCCCAAGCUGGCAGCUGGCUGUUGUGGGGUAAAGAAGCCCAAAUUGUCUGGGAGCGGAACGCACAGUCAUGGGAAUCAGGCCACGACGGUACCGGGCUCCAGUUCAGGUCCUCUUCAGAACCACCAGCAUACAGACGCGAACAAUGGAAGGGAGAACGUAUCUGACUUGACUUUGGGCCCGGGAAAUUCCCCAAUUACUCGAAUGAAUCCCACUUCAGGAGCUCUGAGCCCACUUACUCGGCCCAAUGGAACUGCCAACAGCACCAAGAACCUGGUGGUGACAGCGGAGAUGUGCUGCUACUGCUUUGAUGUACUCUACUGUCAUCUCUACGGUUUCCCUCAGCCACGACUUCCUCGAUUUACCAAUGACCCCUAUCCACUCUUUGUGACGUGGAAGACGGGGCGAGACAAGCGGCUUCGUGGCUGCAUCGGGACCUUUUCAGCCAUGAAUCUUCACUCAGGACUCAGGGAAUACACAUUAACCAGUGCACUUAAGGACAGCCGAUUUCCACCCCUGACCCGCGAGGAGCUGCCCAAACUCUUCUGCUCUGUCUCCCUCCUCACUAACUUUGAGGAUGCCAGUGACUACCUGGACUGGGAGGUUGGGAUCCAUGGGAUCAGAAUAGAGUUCAUCAAUGAGAAAGGUGUCAAACGCACAGCCACAUAUUUACCUGAGGUUGCUAAGGAACAAGAGUGGAGUGGUCGCAUCCUCCUGGCUCUGGGGCAAAAGACUAAGGUAGGAAUUUUAACUCUGAUCUCUCACAUAGCAGUGCACUGUGCUAUCACUAGAGCAUCAGGCUGAUCCCAAUUUGUCUAUGUAAAGCUAAGUAUUACCUUAUUUUGAGACUUAAAGAGCUAAAACUGAGUGGCACGUGAUAAAACGGUUUGGGGUCCUUGCAACAAAAGCAAUGCAUGGACCUUUGUAAGAAGAGAGGUCAAACGGAAAAUGGAAUUUCUGUUUUAUAGACCACUGCAGUUUCAGUAUGAGCUAAAAGGGGUUAGCAUGUGCAGGCAGUGUGCAUGCAAAAGGCCAUGUAUGUCCAGUUCAGCACUGGUAUCUCUAAAGCUCAGUUUCCUGUAUAGUUUGCUUCUCUAAAGGCCUUUUAAUGCAUCUCCUCUCUUCUUGAAACAUCGUUUUUAUGCUGAAAAUCAUCCCUUGCUUUUAUUUUUCAAUAGACUGGGAUCAGAUCCAGACCAUAGACUCCUUACUCAGGAAAGGUGGCUUUAAGGCUCCCAUUACCAAUGAUUUUAGGAAAACGAUUAAACUCACCAGGUACCGCAGUGAGAAGGUGACAAUCAGUUACGCGGAAUACAUGGCCUCCCGUCAGCAUUGUUUCCAGAACGGCACUCUUCAUGCCCCCCCCCUCUACAAUCAUUACUCCUGACACACGGCUGCAUGACCAGUCCCACCCCCCAGUUGCUGCCAACGGCUACGACAUCAUUGGGGCGGAUGCCUCCUCUUCCUGGUCCAGUUACUUCUAUUACUGCACCAUUUUAUGAUGCUAGCUUCCGUUGCCAAGUCUGCCUUCCAGCUGACCUGGGGGGAAGAUGAGAGCAUGACAGAACUGGGGCCCAAGCCUUAUCUCAGCCUUCCCUCCGCGCGGGGGUUCAGUUGGAUUGGGGCUCCAUGCCUAUGAACUGUUGCGAGGUGCAGAAGACCUCUCGGAGUGAAAGUGCCACUUGAGACUGGUCUGUUCUUGUGCGUGACCAACACUCCAGAACCUCGAGCUGUUGGUUAUGGAACCCCCCAGAUCAAGUAGGAGCAUUCCCCUGGCAGCCUGGGCAACGGAGUCCAACAAAACAUUUUUUAGGUUCUUUUUAAUUUUUUUUAACCUCUGGUAUCUGUUGUGUACCAAGAGCUGAUUGCAGUCCCCGCACAUCAUAUGGGGAGGGUUGAACAUCUGGAUAGCACCCCAUCCUCACGGACAGAAAACAGUUAAAGAUGUGAAAAACCUCUGGAUGGUAUUGCAGAUGAAUCCAAUAUUUAAAUAAACCCUAGAAGGCUCUAAUUCUCAGAUUCCACCGUAGGUUGGACUCUCUAGUACUCCUUUUGGUUUACCAUUUGCUGGGUUUUUAGACAGUGCUUUGUAAUGUAGCCUGCUAUGAAAUAGAAUGCUGUUAGGCCUCUAAGAGAGCAAAAUGUGGUGCUGCGUAUGCGAAGGACAAGGUACUGGAGUGUACCCUGGACAGUCUUCUCUGUUAUUACCAAGUUUUGUGUCGAAACGUUUGUAACAGAGCCUGAUUGGAUUAGGGAUGGGGAGGGGGUUGCAGAGAAUUGACUGUAGUCAUACAAGGGAGACAAGUGACUGAAAUUUGUUUAAUUUAAGAAAACAGUCUCGGGGACCUUCCUUUUGAUAGGACAGCCACUUUCUCUAGUGUGACUUUUGAUUGUGAGAAUUGUCAGUGUUCUAGUUUAUAGCAGGCCUUGGGAAUAAAACUGCGUAGUUUUGUUGGUAAGCUAUCUUAUACAGCUUUUCCAUUACCACAUCAAGGCAAUGAGUGAGGAGAACGUAUAGUACCCGAACUGUACGGAACUCAUGUGCACUCUGUACUUCUUCUCCUAUCAUUGAGGACUGCAAGAAGUACUCUAGGAGGAAGGUAUGUUAUCCAGUUAUUUCUGCAGCCUCAUUGAGGGACGCCCUCUCAGUGAGGUCACUGGACUACAAAAUGUAAUUUUUUCCAAAUUCCUGGAGGGUCAGCAAUGAUGAGGAAAGAAAAUACAAGUGUAUAGCAGAGUAGUGGCUAUUUGGCUGCAUAUAGCUUUAAAGUUUGCUUAUAUGUGGUAAUGAUGACUUUUUAAAUUGGCUGGU